Monodelphis domestica (gray short-tailed opossum) is the source of this 3623-nucleotide long non-coding RNA. RefSeq lists it as uncharacterized. The record is from RefSeq and is a predicted model, not a curated record. Lineage: Eukaryota; Metazoa; Chordata; Mammalia; Didelphimorphia; Didelphidae.
UUGCGUCAUCACGCCCCGCCAUAGAUUGAAAAGUAUUUAAGCCGCGGGAAAAGCAGUCCUAGAUUUCAUUGAGAGAGCUGUCUUGGGGACCUCUAAAAGAGACAGCCGGGGAAUCCAAGAUCUUCAGACGUCCCGCUUCUGGAGCCACUCUCGGGUAUGAGUCGGAUGAUAAGAAAAGCUGCUUCCGAUGGAGAAGCGAAGCCCUGGACCUAGCGGCGCCGAGUGUUGUUCCAUUGAAUUCUCCCUUUACUUUCUCUAAAUGUUUCCCUCAGGAGGGGGAGCGUUCAUUUGUAACAAACCUAUAUGAGCUCUAGUGCUGCAGAUGACAGCUGUAAUAUGUACAAAUUAAGAAUGGGACGCAGUUCCCGUCUAACGGCCUCACACGUCUUUGAAAUCACCCUACUUAAAAGGUGAAGAGGGGAAAGCAAAAAAAAAAUGAAUGUGUCCCAAACCGAACUCAUUAGAUUUUCCCAUCCAUCCUCAACCUCAUGUUCAAAGGAGUAACACCCACUAGCAACUACAUGCUCAGAGGAGUAAGUCUGACAGCAGCCCUUUAAAGUCUAGAUGGGUAUUCAAUAGCUCAACUUUUCUUCUCCCUAAAUGGUGGAAAGAGGCUUAUCUAAAAUGCUGUCCUUAGCCCUCUUAUUGAUCACAUCUACUACCAUGAACAUUAUCAUCUCUAUGUGGACAAUGCUAAAAUCUUUAGCUCCAGUCUUGACCCUAUUUUGAAGGCCAGAGAUGUCUACUGGAUACUGAAAUAGGACUCAAGAUGUCUGCCUUGAUCCUAUGUAUUCACCCUGAAGUUCCUACUCCCCAAGAUGGCUGCCCUACCCAGUCAGUUCCAACUACCAGUCAGUGACAGUUGGUGAUGGAUUCUUUGACCACAGGGGUGCCACUGUAAUAUAACUGUAAUAUGAGGGCAGGGAGAGAAUGGAGUUUUCCUUCCCUGCUGGGUCAGGAUCUGAGAGAGGUAAAGAUGGAGCAGAGUCAAAUAGAGAGAGGAUGGAUUGUCUUCCCUCUGAACUCUCCCUGACAAAUCCCACUCUGGUUGCUUUUCAAGACUUUAACUUCUGUUCCCUCAGAGACCUUGGCUAAACAGGCUUGAUACAGUUAGGUUCUUUUUCCCGGGGGGAGGAACGUUACUUCCCUUCCCCCAAUGUCAAGUCUCUCUAGAUGUGGAGUCAGCCACUUGUUCUUAUUAAAACUGUUUUAUUCUAAGGGAACAAGGCAAGGGAUAGGACAGAUGGAUUUAGGAAUGAAGCAGAAGGGAAGAGGGAGCAGGGGGUCCCUAGAAUAAUUGAAACCCCUCCUCCCAAAAGUCUGGCAGAUGAGACUUUGUUGAUCUGACCUCCUGGGUCAGUUAGUGAACAAGUCCUGGCUCUAACUUGGCAACUGCAACCAGUCUAGGACUUUAAGGGAUCUGGAGGAAAUCUUCCUUCUAGUGAACAGCUUCCAGUUGAAGUCCUAUUCACUUUUGUCUUGGGGUAUUGGGUCAAGCUUUCACAGGAGAUGAGUGCUGGUUCAGAGAUCCACUCAGUUCACCUUCCUGGUAGCUUCUCAGAGAGAAGAAUCUUUUCAACUGUCCACAUCAGCUCACUUCCUCUCCUUUCCUCAGAAUUCUCUCUCCUUCCUGCCCUUCCCUGUUCCUGCAGAAUUCUCCAACUUGCCAGAUCUGCUUCUCUCUUUUCUGCUGGCAGAUUAAGUCCAGUUCAUCUUUUACAAAUAUCUUCCAUACAUAUACAGACUAUAUAAUCUCAUAUAUACACACACAUAAGUACAUGUAUUUAUAUGCAUGUACAUCCCCUAUAUUAUACUUGUUAUCCCUAUUUUAUAAGUAUGUACAUAUAUUACAGAGCUAUGUACAUGUCUAAAUGUGUACUGUAUGUCACUAAUCUCUACAUUGAUCCCUGUAUGUUUCCUGAUAUUUCCUAAGUAGAAUAUCUCGAUCACACCUCUUUAAGUAACAUUUUAUUGUAUCUAAUAUGUAGAACUUUUAUUGCUAUAUUAACCAGUUUAUGAAUAUCCAUUUACAUGGAUGUAUAGUAGCAAAUAAAGAUCUUAAAACAUUUAUUGAAACAUGUAUCCUUUAUGUGCUCGUUGCAUAUAAAUAUACUUACCAACUCUUCAGAUCCUCCUCUUCUCAUGUUGUCUAAUGAUUCUCUUCUAUCUUCAGUUCUUGUGUAGCUAUAUAAUGUUGUAUGUAACUAAUUUGGAAAUAUAGUGUAUUUAAUUACACAUUUCUCUCACAAUCUUGAGUCCAGUCCUCCUGUUCCUCUUCUUUGCAGAUUCCUGUACAGUCUUUGCUAUUCUGUCAACAUCAGGUCAUCUGUUUCUGCUUCCUUCUUCCUGCUGCUAAGAUCUGCUUCUAUGCUGUUCUCCUCCCUGGUCAGCUUGUAUCAUCCUCUUCCACUGGACUUAUCCCCUUAUGAUCUUUUUUGCCUACAGACUCAAAUUGCCUCAUGAAUCUCUCAGCUCUCUUCUAUCACUUCUUCUCCUCCUAUCUCAAUUUCUAUAUCUCCUAUUUUCUCUGUGUGCCAAUUUCACAUGCAACCAAUGAAUCUAUGAUUGUCUAAGAUUUUUGCUGCUCAAUGUGAGAUUAAUAUAGUUGCAAAUGGUCAGAUCCAACUUUCUUGUGCUGCCGAUGUUUUUCCAAAGUUCUUUACAGAGACUAAAUCUUCUGGUUUUAUAUUGUGUAAGGAGUAAUCCUAUGGCCCAGAUUGAACGAACAGUCCCAAUCAUGUAACUCUCUUAUACUGUCUUGCAAAGCUGUAAUAGAAGAUGCUAUCUGCAUGUCUCUUCCUAGCACUGAGACAGAAGCCGGUUUGCAAGUUUUUGCCUGUAGAAGUGAAUGUCCAAACAAUGUUUCAUAUAGGAAAAUAUGUAAAUCUGUCCAAGGCCUUCUACAUAGGUAAAAUAGAGCUAAAGGAAGUAUUUCUGGCCACUUUAAAUGAGCCUAUGUACAAAGUUUUCCCACCAUAGUUUUUAUCUCUCUGUUCAAUCUUUCAACCCGUCCAGAGCUCUGUGGAUGUUAUGGCACAUGAAAUCUUCCUUUUAUUCCUAGAUUUUCAUAUAGCUGCUGUAAUAUUUCCUGUGUAAAAUGAUUCCCCUGGUCUGAGUCUAUGGUAACUGGGGUUCUAUACCUAGGAAUUACCUCCUUUAGCAAUAUUUUCACUACAAACCCUGCUGUAUUUGUUGUCAAUGGAAAUGCUUCUGGACAUUGUGUCAAUCUAUCCACCAAUAUCAAGCAAUAUUUAUAUUUCCUGCUUUAGGCAUAUUUAUGUAAUCUGUCUGAAAACUUUCAAAUGGAGAGUAGGCUUAAAGGUCUUCCUACUCUUUCUUUCUAAAUGCUACCUGAUUGAAUCUUUGACAGAACAACUAUUACAGACUAUUUGCAACUGUUGUUAUUCCUGGAGCUAUCCAUGUUCUUUUAAUGGAAUUCACCAAGGCUUAGGUGCCAAAAUCUCCUUUACUAUGGAUGGAAUUACAUAUAUGUUAAGAACUCUUUUGGCAAGAUUGGCUUUCCAGUGUCUGACAGCCAAAUGUCAUUUACUUUUCUUGCUCCAAACUUAUCCUGCCAUGCCUGAAUCUCAGAGUCUUUAUAAGCUUUUGUUAGAUCAGCUGAC